This 3018-nucleotide long non-coding RNA is filed under the name Piliocolobus tephrosceles (Ugandan red Colobus). RNAcentral's name for it is "lncRNA (ENSPTEG00000017829.1)". The record is from RNAcentral. Lineage: Eukaryota; Metazoa; Chordata; Mammalia; Primates; Cercopithecidae.
CUGUUAUUUCUUUUUUUUUUUUUUUUUUUUUUUUUUUUUUUUUUUUUUUUUUUAUUUUUUUUUUUUUUUUUUUUUUUUUUUUUUUUUUUUUUUUUUUUUUUUACUUUUAUAUAUUUGAUUUUUUGAUCAUUUAUUUAGUAUUUAUUACUUAUUUAUUAUUUAUUAUUUUUUAUUUGUUAUUUUUUAUUUGUUAUUUUUUAUUUGUUAUUUUUUAUUUUUUAUUUGUUAUUUAUUAUUCAUUAUUUAUUAUUCAUUAUUUAUUAUUCAUUAUUUAUUAUUUAUUUUUUACCUUUCUAAAAAAUUUAAAAACAAUUAAAUUUAUAAAGCAUUGAAAGGAGGGACAUAAGCGUAAAGCUGCAAAUAUAUGUACAUAUAUAUAUAUAUAUAUAUAUAUAUAUAUAUAUUUAUGUACAUAUGUACAAACUUAUGAACAUACACAUGUAUGCACGUAUGUAACAUCUAUACAAAAAUAAAAGGUACAUUGCCACCCAUGUAUAAUAUUAAUUAAUAUUUCUAUGCACACGUGUACAGAGGAAAUCAGGGAGGAUGUGGGGAUAAAGGAAACCCCAUAUGUUCAUGAUGUUGUUAAUAUAAUAAACACAUCCAAACAAAAUGAUGCAGUACGAGAAAAUAUAUUAUUAGAUUUACACUUAGAAAAAAAUAAUAAUAAUAAUGAUAUAAAUCAUGAAAAUGGUAAAAAAAAAUUUAAGUAUAAUAGAAAUACAUAAAUUUAUAAAUAAAUUAAAAAGUACUAAUGCAUCAAAUUUUUCAAAAAGUGAUAUAAAAACCUUACAAGACGAUAUAAAAAACUUAAAUAUAAGUAAACAUUUAAGUGAAAUAUUAAAUUAUAUUGUUGAUUUAACCUACCAAAUUAAUAAAUAUUCAGAUAUUUUUAUUUUAAUUAAUAUUAUAAAAUAUAUAAGUAUAAAUUAUAAUAAUGUUAAUGAUCUUAUAGAAAAAAUAAUUUUUAUCAAAUUUUUUAAACUUAAUGAAAAUGAUAAAAAUUUUUUUUUUCUCAUUUUGCAUGAUGUAUAUAAUGAUAUUAGUGAAGAUAACAACUGGGUAGGGAAAGCAGCAUCUCUUACCUCGUCAGAAAAUAUAGUUUCGUCAUUUAAAAAUAAUAAAAAUGGGAAAACGAGUGGUUAUGUUAGUAACAAUAUAGUUGAGAAAUGUAGAGGUAGUGUGGACUGGGUAGAUCCAACAGAGGUGGUAGGUCCAGCAGAAGUAGGUCCAACAGAGAUAGGUCCAGCAAAAGUAAAUCCCAAAAUAAAUGAUGCAAAUCCUCAAACACAUUCAAAUUUUAAUUAUAACUUCACCGAUAGCGACAUAAAUAAAAUUACAAAUACAUCAUCUUAUGUGAAUAUAGACGAAUACGAAGUGAGCAAUUUGAAAAAAUUAAAAAAAAAUAGUAAUAAUAAUAAUAAUAAUAAUAGUAGUAAUAAUAGUAAUAGUAAUAAUAAUAAUAAUAAUAAUAGUAGUAAUAAUAGUAAUAGUAAUAAUAAUAAUAAUAAUAGUAAUAAUAAUAAUAAUAAUAAUAAUAGUAAUAAUAGUAAUAAUAAUAAUAGUAAUAAUAAUAAUAAUAAUAAUAGUAAUAAUAAUAAUAAUAAUAAUAAUAGUAAUAGUAAUAAUAAUAAUAAUAAUAUUAUUAUUAUAAAAAAAUUAAAAGAAAUAAAAGAUAAUUUAUUAAAAAAAAUAACUUCUACAAUUUAUGAACAAAAUGAAGAUAAUGAUAACUAUAUGGUUAUGUAUAAUUUAUUUAUGAAUAAUAAUAAAGAAAAAAAUUCAUUGGAUAAAAAAGAAUAUAUAAAAAAAAUAAUAAGCGAUAAUAAUUUUAUGAAACAAAUAAAAAAAAAAAAUAAAAUAAGAAUGAAUAUACUAUGUUUAUAUUUCGAAUUAAUUAUAUUAAAAAUAUGUCACAAUAAGGAUUUAUUAUUAUAUAUGUUUUUGAAUAUUACAUAUUUUUGUCCUUUAAACUUAGACAAUAUUUGUAUAAAUAAAGAUAUAAAAAAUACUGUCACCAAUAAUACAGUUCAUAAUAAUACUACUGCAACUUUUGCAACUUCUACAACUUCUUCAACACCUUCAAAUCUUAUUACUGGUUCUGAUGAGUAUAACACAAUGUGUGGGACGAGUAAAAGUGUGUUAUUAGAAGAUUCGAUACAAGAGGUAAAAGGAGAAACAAAAUUAAAUAACAUUAAUGAAAAAGGAAUAUUGACAACACCAGAAACAGUGGAAAAACCGGUUACGGUGGAAACACCGAUAACAGUGGAUAAAUUAGAAACACCCACAGAUGACAAUAUAUUAAGUAAUACACCACAAUACAUACAAGAGUCCUAUAUCAAACAUAUAAAAAAUUUAAAAAAAAAUAUACUCAGUUAUUUUCGAGCAUUUUAUAAUAACAAUAUGUAUAAUUUAUUAGUAUAUUUUUAUGCUGAACAUGUAAUGAAUGAAUAUAAUAUAAAUAAUAAAACAAGUUAUAUUAAAGAAGAAUAUAAUUUUUAUAAAUUAUAUGAAAAAAGUAAAAAAUUUUGUUUAUUUUUUGAUUUAAAUAAAUAUUCAUUGGAUAAAAUUCAAAUGAAUGGGAUAGACAUAUUAGGAUUAAAAGAAGAAAGUUAUCAACAUAUUAAACGAUUUGAUAAUUUAAAAAAAAAUAAAAAUGAACAUCCUAAAAAUAAUGAAAUAUUAUUAACAGGUGAAUAUGAAUAUAUAUGGGAAAAUGAAAUUGAAAAAAAAUUUUAUACAGUAUUUCCAGAUUUUUCACAUAUAAAUACUACAUUAAAAGAGGAUGAUGGAAGUGAUGAUGUGAUUGAUUACGACAUAAAUAUAAAUAAUUUGGGGUUUGAUGAUGGUGAUGAUAUAUAUGUUAUUAUUGAUGGUAGACAAACAAAUAGUAAUAAAAUUAGUGAUAAAACUGAUAUAAAAAUGACACAAAAGUUAAAAGAUCAAAGUGGGGGGAAAAACCCAAAUGAGGAGAAAGACGAUAACAAUAACAAUAAUAAUAAUAAUAACAAUAAUAAU